AGCAUGUUAUCAGGAUGGA
Molecule: non-coding RNA, 19 nt
Filed under: Arabidopsis thaliana (thale cress)
Lineage: Eukaryota; Viridiplantae; Streptophyta; Magnoliopsida; Brassicales; Brassicaceae
Source: RNAcentral